GCGGAGGAAAAGAAACCAACAGGGAUUGCCCUAGUAACGGCGAGUGAAGCGGCAACAGCUCAAAUUUGAAAGCUGGCCUUCGGGUCCGCAUUGUAAUUUGUAGAGGAUGCUUUGGGGCAGCCGCCUGUCUAAGUUCCUUGGAACAGGACGUCAUAGAGGGUGAGAAUCCCGUAUGUGACAGGACAUGGCACCCUAUGUAAAGCUCCUUCGACGAGUCGAGUUGUUUGGGAAUGCAGCUCUAAAUGGGAGGUAAAUUUCUUCUAAAGCUAAAUACCGGCGAGAGACCGAUAGCGCACAAGUAGAGUGAUCGAAAGAUGAAAAGCACUUUGGAAAGAGAGUUAAAAAGCACGUGAAAUUGUUGAAAGGGAAGCGCUUGCAAUCAGACUUGUCCAAACUGUUCGGCCGGUCUUCUGACCGGUUUACUCAGUUUGGACAGGCCAGCAUCAGUUUCGGCGGCCGGAUAAAGGCCCCGGGAAUGUGGCCCUCGCUUCGGCGGGGGUGUUAUAGCCCGGGGUGUAAUACGGCCAGCCGGGACUGAGGUCCGCGCUUCGGCUAGGAUGCUGGCGUAAUGGUUGUAAGCGACCCGUCUUGAAACAC
RNAcentral lists this ribosomal RNA (597 nucleotides) under Aureobasidium sp. SAM11. RNAcentral describes it as "LSU rRNA". It matches the Rfam family "Eukaryotic large subunit ribosomal RNA", at positions 50 to 662 of the family's 3401-position model. Lineage: Eukaryota; Fungi; Ascomycota; Dothideomycetes; Dothideales; Saccotheciaceae. The record is from RNAcentral.